GUUAAGGGCAAGCCUAUACAUGCAAGUCGAGCGAACAGACGAGGAGCUUGCUCCUCUGACGUUAGCGGCGGACGGGUGAGUAACACGUGGAUAACCUACCUAUAAGACUGGGAUAACUUCGGGAAACCGGAGCUAAUACCGGAUAACAUGUUGAACCGCAUGGUUCAACAGUGAAAGACGGUCUUGCUGUCACUUAUAGAUGGAUCCGCGCCGCAUUAGCUAGUUGGUAAGGUAACGGCUUACCAAGGCAACGAUGCGUAGCCGACCUGAGAGGGUGAUCGGCCACACUGGAACUGAGACACGGUCCAGACUCCUACGGGAGGCAGCAGUAGGGAAUCUUCCGCAAUGGGCGAAAGCCUGACGGAGCAACGCCGCGUGAGUGAAGAAGGUCUUCGGAUCGUAAAACUCUGUUAUUAGGGAAGAACAAAUGUGUAAGUAACUAUGCACGUCUUGACGGUACCUAAUCAGAAAGCCACGGCUAACUACGUGCCAGCAGCCGCGGUAAUACGUAGGUGGCAAGCGUUAUCCGGAAUUAUUGGGCGUAAAGCGCGCGUAGGCGGUUUUUUAAGUCUGAUGUGAAAGCCCACGGCUCAACCGUGGAGGGUCAUUGG
This 611-nucleotide ribosomal RNA is filed under the name Staphylococcus capitis subsp. capitis. RNAcentral's name for it is "bacterial SSU rRNA". It matches the Rfam family "Bacterial small subunit ribosomal RNA", at positions 35 to 629 of the family's 1533-position model. Lineage: Bacteria; Bacillati; Bacillota; Bacilli; Caryophanales; Staphylococcaceae. The record is from RNAcentral.